AGUGAACGCUGGCGGUAGGCCUAACACAUGCGAGUCGAACGGCAGCACAGUAAGAGCUUGCUCUUACGGGUGGCGAGUGGCGGACGGGUGAGGAAUACAUCGGAAUCUACUUUUUCGUGGGGGAUAACGUAGGGAAACUUACGCUAAUACCGCAUACGACCUACGGGUGAGAGCAGGGGAUCUUCGGACCUUGCGCGAUUGAAUGAGCCGAUGUCGGAUUAGCUAGUUGGCGGGGUAAAGGCCCACCAAGGCGACGAUCCGUAGCUGGUCUGAGAGGAUGAUCAGCCACACUGGAACUGAGACACGGUCCAGACUCCUACGGGAGGCAGCAGUGGGGAAUAUUGGACAAUGGGCGCAAGCCUGAUCCAGCCAUACCGCGUGGGUGAAGAAGGCCUUCGGGUUGUAAAGCCCUUUUGUUGGGAAAGAAAAGCAGCAGGUUAAUACCCCGCUGUUCUGACGGUACCCAAAGAAUAAGCACCGGCUAACUUCGUG
This 492-nucleotide ribosomal RNA is filed under the name uncultured bacterium. RNAcentral describes it as "partial 16S ribosomal RNA". It matches the Rfam family "Bacterial small subunit ribosomal RNA", at positions 29 to 507 of the family's 1533-position model. The record is from RNAcentral.